CAGCGUGCUGCAUCUCAGCCAACUCCAGGAGGGCCUGUCUUGAGAUGCACCUUGUUUGCCCACGGGGGAAACGUGCUUUGGAAAGUGCUGGACACCAUGGCUGUGCAGGCCCAAGAAGGAAGCAUGCUCAUGGCAAUACCCGGAGUCUCCACUGCAAGACCAGAGUGACGGAGGCAGCAGAGCUCCUCAGCAGGCCAGGAGUCUCCAGAGGCACUGCCGAAUGUCUAAGAAGCAACCUCAUUGUAUUCCCAAGACCUGGGAAUCCAGGUCUCGCAGAUACGAUGAUACAAUCUAUAGCCAGGACAUCUCUUCAUGUGUAGUUUUCAAUGAAUACUAGGAUAAGCAACUAUCCCAGUCUUCCCAGGAUUGAGGGGCUUCUCCAGAUGCUGCACUUCUGGUGCUAAAAAUGAGAAACUGAAAUGAAUUAGUCACCCAAGGAAUGCUGACCCUGUGCUAUAUGAUCACAUUUACUCUUUAAAGCAAUGCUUUGAGACAUGAAAGCCAGAUAGGGAAGAAUUUGCAGCCUCAUACUGAUUGGCCAGUUGAGGAGUCAACUCAUCUCUCUUAUAGAAAAAAGAAGAUUACAUUUACGGAAUACAGAAUAUACUGUGCUCUCUACUUACCAAGAGAUUUCUUUCUCUACUGACAACUUUCUGUUGACGUGGUUACUGUGCAGGUUCUGACAGUCGAUUCUUUCCACCUAGUUCACUGCUGAAGCUAUAAUGAUUUCCAUUUUGCAAAAAGAGGAUGAUUACUUAUUAUCUGUGACCAUUUCUCAAUUCCAGAACAAUUGAGCUGCAUAGUCCCUGCAAUCUUAUAAAGGCAUUUGGCCUGGAAGAUGCUCUGCAGCCAUGUGCCAAGAAUAACGGCUAUAGGGACAAUGUUUCAUUAACCCCAAAGCAGCAACCUGAACCUCUUACUGUACAAUAUCUGCUCCGUUCAGAAUUAGCUCGACUUGAGUCACAGGAUGAAGCUUACCAAAAGGAAUUUCCACGUCCAAGGAAGGAACCAAGAUCACUGAGAGGUUAUAGUAUGAAAAGUGAAGAGAAAAAACCUAUUCUAAACAUUUUAUUAAUUGUCAAUAAUUAUUUUAAAAUAUUUAAUAUAGUCUCCUACCUGGUCCACUGGCAUCAAGCUGCCAAAUUUACACGGUCACUUUGGGAAGCCAGCUGGCAGGCAAACAUGGAAAGUGCUGGCUCCUAGCGUAGUGAGAAGACCACAGAUAGAUGGUAAUUUUCUUCUUUGUUUUAUUUUUCUUUUUCUUCUCUCCCUCUUUUUCUUCCCUCUUGCCUUUCCCUCCCAUUGCCCACUUUCUUUUUUUGGCUGCCGAAGAUUUAUUGCCUUUCAGUACUUAUAGAUGAUGUUUUCAUAAGUUCUAAUGAGGUCCCAGCAGUUUUUAACAAUAACAGGACAUUACUGUUCCUAAGAUAUAUUAUGUGUUUUCCCUCAUCUUUCUCCCUUGAAUGAAAUGCUUAGAAGUAGGCUAACCCCCAAUUCCCUUCCCUUUACUAUGAUAAAUGGCUCCAUUACUUAAU
Molecule: long non-coding RNA, 1535 nt
Filed under: Homo sapiens (human)
Lineage: Eukaryota; Metazoa; Chordata; Mammalia; Primates; Hominidae
Description: GMDS divergent transcript
Source: RNAcentral